UACAGAGGUGGCAAGCGUUGUUCGGAAUUACUGGGCGUAAAGGGCGCGUAGGCGGUCAGGUCAGUCCGGUGUGAAAUCCCUCGGCUCAACUGCGGAACUGCACGGGAAACUGCCUGGCUUGAGUUCGGGAGAGGGAAGCGGAAUUCCGGGUGUAGCGGUGAAAUGCGUAGAUAUCCGGAGGAACACCGGUGGCGAAGGCGGCUUCCUGGACCGACACUGACGCUGAGGCGCGAAAGCUAGGGGAGCAAACGGG
Molecule: ribosomal RNA, 253 nt
Filed under: uncultured bacterium
Lineage: Bacteria
Description: partial 16S ribosomal RNA
Rfam family: Bacterial small subunit ribosomal RNA
Source: RNAcentral